Non-coding RNA from Peromyscus maniculatus bairdii (prairie deer mouse), 127 nucleotides. The record is from RefSeq and is a predicted model, not a curated record. NCBI's taxonomy places the organism in Eukaryota, Metazoa, Chordata, Mammalia, Rodentia, Cricetidae.
GCCCAUAGGGAGUGAGACUAUUAGGAGGUGUGGCCUUGUUGGAGGAAGUGUGUCAUUGUGGGGGAGGGCUUUGAGGUCUUAGAUGCUCAAGCUACAUCCAGUGAGUAAGUCCACUGCCUGCUGCCUG